AUAUAUGAACAAUAAUGACUCCAAACAAUUUUGGCGGAAAAUUGGUAACAUUGGUAUAGGAAAUGAAAGGCAAUCGGCUAUUCCGAAUGAAGUUGUGCUGUCAGACGGCUCUGUUACAAACAAUUUGGACUCUGUAUUGCAUAAAUGGAAGGAUUGUUUUUAUAAUUUGUUAAAUCAGAGUAACAACUCAGAUCCUAAAAUUGU
This 204-nucleotide long non-coding RNA is filed under the name Mytilus galloprovincialis (Mediterranean mussel). The record is from RNAcentral. Lineage: Eukaryota; Metazoa; Mollusca; Bivalvia; Mytilida; Mytilidae.